ACAAACACUCAGAAAAAAGAGACCAAUGACGAGAUAAGAAGAUGAUCCAAUCUUUGGUAUUGUAUUUUUUUGUUUUUUGUGUUAUUUUUGGGAGGGGAAUUUGAGUCAGUCUGCUUCAGAGGGACUGACACGAUGGAAAGAGUUGUGUGUGUGGCGGCUCUGCUGGUCCUCGGCUCUGUCUGGAUGGUCCAGACGGUCCCUGUGCUCCUGGAACCUUUAAUCCUCCCAAAGGAGAACUUUGAUCUGGACCAGUUCAUGGGGAGGUGGAAUGAGUUGGCAGUGGUUUCUACAUGUCCUUACUACAUGCAGCGUAAGAGGGGAAACCCCAUCAUCGUUGCCCUGGAGCUGGAACAUGGCGCCUCUGAUAGCAACUUCACAAUGACAGCCACUCAUUUCAGGAAUGGCUCAUGUCACCAGACGUCCACUGAUUACCGUGUGACCAACACUAUGGGACGGUUCUACCAUUAUAUUGCAAGAUUCAGGGCAGAUGUUGAUUCCUUCGUGGUCCAUUACAAAUAUGAUGAGUACGCAAUGAUUCGUCUGCUGAGCGUGGAGCAACCAUCAGGAAAUAGAACAACCACAAUCAAGCUUUAUAGUCGAAGUAUGAGUGUUGGGGCCACUGUGCUGGAUGACUUCAAAACGCUGGUCAGACAACAUGGUCUGAGUGAUGUCGCAAUCAUCAUGAAUCAGAACAAAGGUGACCCACUGCUGAUGGCCCAAGGUCUACAAAUGAAAUGCAUUUACCAGUGCGGGACUUCUUUGAAACACAAAGACAAAUGUUGCCGACAUGAAUGACAGAAAGCCCUCUCUUUCAAGGUGUGUGUGUUCCAGGUGAGCGGGUGACACAGCCGUCACAGCUCAACAUCAGGAGGAGGUAAAGAAAUACGGCACCAAUUAUGUUUUCUGCAAAUGAGGAGGACCAUUGGAAUGUUUGACCAGGUGAGGACAAGCAACUUAAUGUUUAGAGGUACAUUAUAUGAGAUUGGGAGCAGUUUAACGGCUCUCAAAAUGGUGGCUUGUGAGUCAGCUGCUCACAGCGCUGACACCAACUGUGUACGAACUACACCAACUGUGUACGAACUACACCAACUGUGUACGAACUCCACCAACUGUGUAUGAACAACACCAACUGUGUACGAACUCCACCAACUGUGUAUGAACAACACCAACUGUGUACGAACUCCACCAACUGUGUAUGAACAACACCAACUGUGUACGAACUCCACCAACUGUGUACAAACUACACCAACUGUGUAUGAACAACACCAACUGUGUACGAACUCCACCAACUGUGUACAAACUACACCAACUGUGUAUGAACAACACCAACUGUGUACGAACUACACCAACUGUGUACGAACAACACCAACUGUGGACGAACUACACCAACUGUGUACGAACUACACCAACUGUGGACGAACUCCACCAACUGUGUAUGAACUCCACCAACUGUGUACAAACUACACCAACUGUGUAUGAACAACACCAACUGUGUACGAACAACACCAACUGUGUACGAACUCCACCAACUGUGUACGAACUACACCAACUGUGGACGAACUCCACCAACUGUGUAUGAACUCCACCAACUGUGUACAAACUACACCAACUGUGUAUGAACAACACCAACUGUGUACGAACAACACCAACUGUGUACGAACUCCACCAACUGUGUACGAACAACACCAACUGUGUACGAACUACACCAACUGUGGACGAACUCCACCAACUGUGUACGAACUACACCAACUGUGGACGAAC
Pungitius pungitius (ninespine stickleback) is the source of this 1761-nucleotide RNA transcript. It is a transcript of the gene named protein AMBP-like, with no coding region annotated. NCBI's taxonomy places the organism in Eukaryota, Metazoa, Chordata, Actinopteri, Perciformes, Gasterosteidae. The record is from RefSeq and is a predicted model, not a curated record. The transcript is spliced from 6 exons.